This 497-nucleotide ribosomal RNA is filed under the name uncultured bacterium. Its description in RNAcentral is "partial 16S ribosomal RNA". It matches the Rfam family "Bacterial small subunit ribosomal RNA", at positions 28 to 507 of the family's 1533-position model. The record is from RNAcentral.
GAUGAACGCUGGCGGCGUGCCUAAUACAUGCAAGUCGAGCGAACAGACGAGGAGCUUGCUCCUCUGACGUUAGCGGCGGACGGGUGAGUAACACGUGGAUAACCUACCUAUAAGACUGGGAUAACUUCGGGAAACCGGAGCUAAUACCGGAUAAUAUAUUGAACCGCAUGGUUCAAUAGUGAAAGACGGUUUUGCUGUCACUUAUAGAUGGAUCCGCGCCGCAUUAGCUAGUUGGUAAGGUAACGGCUUACCAAGGCAACGAUGCGUAGCCGACCUCAGAGGGUGAUCGGCCACACUGGAACUGAGACACGGUCCAGACUCCUACGGGAGGCAGCAGUAGGGAAUCUUCCGCAAUGGGCGAAAGCCUGACGGAGCAACGCCGCGUGAGUGAUGAAGGUCUUCGGAUCGUAAAACUCUGUUAUUAGGGAAGAACAAAUGUGUAAGUAACUAUGCACGUCUUGACGGUACCUAAUCAGAAAGCCACGGCUAACUACGUG